RNAcentral lists this ribosomal RNA (157 nucleotides) under Aleiodes sp. HD-419. RNAcentral describes it as "partial 28S ribosomal RNA". Lineage: Eukaryota; Metazoa; Arthropoda; Insecta; Hymenoptera; Braconidae. The record is from RNAcentral.
AAUAUUGAAGACCUUUGGUGUCCUGAUAAGCUGUUUGACGGUAAACAUAUGGUAUUGAGCCGCAAUUAUUUGCGUUAGACUUACCGCAAGUAAGAUUUUAGUCUAGUAGUGCGGAUCUAAUGCUGUCGCUGGGCAAAGUCUACUGUUAGCUGUGUAA